RNAcentral lists this ribosomal RNA (489 nucleotides) under uncultured bacterium. Its description in RNAcentral is "partial 16S ribosomal RNA". It matches the Rfam family "Bacterial small subunit ribosomal RNA", at positions 28 to 507 of the family's 1533-position model. The record is from RNAcentral.
GAUGAACGCUAGCGGGAGGCCUAACACAUGCAAGCCGAGCGGGAUUUGUUGGUUAGCUUGCUAACUAACAAUGAGAGCGGCGUACGGGUGCGUAGCACGUGUGCAACCUGCCUUUAUCUGGGGGAUAGCCUUUCGAAAGGAAGAUUAAUACCCCAUAACAUAUUGAUUGGCAUCAGUUAAUAUUGAAAGCUCCGGCGGAUAGAGAUGGGCACGCGUAAGAUUAGCUAGUUGGUGAGGUAACGGCUCACCAAGGCUGCGAUCUUUAGGGGGCCUGAGAGGGUGAUCCCCCACACUGGUACUUAGACACGGACCAGACUCCUACGGGAGGCAGCAGUGAGGAAUAUUGGACAAUGGGUGAGAGCCUGAUCCAGCCAUCCCGCGUGAAGGACUAAGGACCUAUGGUUUGUAAACUUCUUUUAGACAGGGAUAAACCUACUCUCGUGAGGGUAGCUGAAGGUACUGUAUGAAUAAGCACCGGCUAACUCCGUG